GACGAACGCUGGCGGCGUGCUUAACACAUGCAAGUCGAACGGAAAGGCCCCUUUGGGGGUACUCGAGUGGCAGACGGGUGAGUAACACGUGAGUAACCUGCCCUUGACUUCGGGAUAACUUCAGGAAACUGGGGCUAAUACCGGAUAGGAAUCCUUUCUUCAUGGGGGGGGUUGGAAAGCUUCGGCGGUUUUGGGUGGACUGGCGGCUUAUCAGCUUGCUGGUGGGGUAGUGGCUUACCAAGCCGUUGACGGGUAGCCGGCCUGAGAGGGCGACCGGCCACCUUGGGACUGAGAUGCGGCACAGACUCCUACGGGAGGCAGCAGUGGGGAAUAUUGCACAAUGGGCGGAAGCCUGAUGCAGCAACGCCGCGUGCGGGAUGACGGCGUUCGGGUUGUAAACCGCUUUCAGCAGGGGCGAAGCUUGUGGUGACGGUACCUGCAGAAGAAGCACCGGCUAACUACGUG
This 465-nucleotide ribosomal RNA is filed under the name uncultured bacterium. RNAcentral describes it as "partial 16S ribosomal RNA". It matches the Rfam family "Bacterial small subunit ribosomal RNA", at positions 28 to 507 of the family's 1533-position model. The record is from RNAcentral.